GUCGUGGUCCGGGCCGAGCAGGCCCCGCCACUACUGCUGGUGGUGGUUGGGGCUCAGCCCUCGACCGUGACGCC
Molecule: transfer RNA, 74 nt
Filed under: Streptomyces tuirus
Lineage: Bacteria; Bacillati; Actinomycetota; Actinomycetes; Kitasatosporales; Streptomycetaceae
Also listed under: 1 other name
Description: tRNA-Ser
Source: RNAcentral